Molecule: long non-coding RNA, 2170 nt
Organism: Diabrotica virgifera virgifera (western corn rootworm)
Lineage: Eukaryota; Metazoa; Arthropoda; Insecta; Coleoptera; Chrysomelidae
Exons: 3
Source: RefSeq, a predicted model, not a curated record
UCAAAUAUGCAAUAAUUAACACCCUCAGCGCCAGUGUAUCCUUUUAGAUAUACACUGUCCUCAACACUGUGUACUAAAAAAGAUACACAUGGCUCGUUGUGUUCGAUCUAUUGUGUCACCUAAAAGGACACACUUUCCUAAGUUUUUAUAUGUAGAGAAUAAUGCUAUGGCCUAAGCCAAUUUCCUGGUAUAACUGGGUUUGGCCUUAUGACAUAAAAAGAUAGAUUGUAUGUAACUAGAAAUUCGUAUGAAAAAUGUUGCCAUGUAUGGGCCAAAACAACUUGCUCCAACUCAUUAUGCAGGGAAAGAUUCAAGGAAAAAGAAGCAUAGGGAGAUGCAGAAUAUCUUGGCUGCGCAACUUGAGAGAAUGGUACGGAUGAACAUCAAAUGAACUUUUCAGAGCAGUCGUCUGCAAAGUCCUAAUAGCUAAGAUGUAUUGUCAGAGAAAUAGCAAAUAAUCCCAAAAAAGUGCACCAAAAUUGAGAGAUGAGGUGGAAACACAGUUUGGAAAAAUAGGUAACCCUAAAACAAUUAAACGGAUAUUACAAAAGAAUAAUCUACCUACAUAGCUGAACUGCAAGAAAUAAAUCUUUUAUCAGCCAAAGAAAUAAGCAACAAGGAGUUUUGUUUUCUUUAUUAAUAUUCUCCUUUAAAAGUUUACAUCAUUUUAGCUGAUAUCAAAAUCGUACACAAAAUAAUUAAAGAACUAUUGUUAUUUAAGUAUGGUAUAUUUGAAACCCAAAACAUAGCUUUGCUAUUUUAGAGGACUUAUAGUUAGUAACUUACUGUCAGUAUGUAAUUUUUUUUCUUAUAUUGGGUCACUGACACAAGCUAGUUUUAUUGAGUAACGACUGUAUCAUUUCAGAAUUGAAGCUGUGAGUCACUGUAGGUGCAGUACAAUAAUUUUGCUUAUACAAAUUAUCAGUAAUAAUAUUUAUUUACAUCAAAAUAAAAAUUCCAUCACAUAAUGAUGUCUAACAGCUGAUUGUCAUUUGUCUUUAUUGCUUAAUUCUCUGACCAAUACGAACACAGAUAUCACGUGGGUAGUUCUAACCAAUAAAAUCGUGGAAUUCAUAGCGGUAUUUAACGGCUCGUAUCCAAACCACGUGACCUCUGGUUGGCACACAAACUAAAGAAGAGGUUAUGUUUGUGUCUAUUUUUCAAUGAUUUUUCAUUGUUUAUCGUCGUAUUUUGGAUUCAUUUGGAUUUCGUUUCCUGUUUUUGUGAACUUUAUAAACUUUACCACAAUGCGAACUGAUUAUUUAAGGAAAUUAUUAUUGGAAACUCCAGAUGUUGCGAGAAAGAUAUUUAUUGAAGCUGAAAAUAAUUGGGGAUUUAGAUCCAUACGGAAUUGAGUCAGAAUUGGAUUUUACAGUAAAGUGCAGUCCAUCAAGUUACUAUUAUAGAUAUGUAUUUAUACAGAUCUGGUGGAGUCUCACAGUUGCUACUCUAAGCAGCAGAUGAAAGCAUACAAAAGCCUUCAGGCACAUAAAUAUUUUACAGCUGGAUUUGUUUUGAAUGGAGUAAAAAUUGUUAAUGAUUUCCUGAUUUCCAUAUUAUUGUUGGAAAGGUGAAGCAUUUCCAAAAAGCUAAUGCUAAACGACUAAAUGCUUGGGUGGGGUGAUAGCCAGUUCUGAUGACAUAGCAAAUGCACAUUGUAUGCGUAUGGCCGGUAAUAGUGAAGUCUGCAGCCAUAUUGCAGCAAUAUAUAUUGCUGACCUGUAAAAGUACAUUUGUACAUUAUUACCAAUAAAUACUCUACUCUACUCUACUCUACUCUAAUCCUAUUUUUAGCUGAGUAUGCCCAGAGCAAGACAGACGAAGAAGAACCCAAUGCAUGUACAUAUGUUACAGCUACAUGGUUUGGAGAUAGCAACAUAUGCAUUCUCUGAUGAAAAACUAAUGAGUUUUGAAACUGUUCGGUCAGAGUGCUUGUUGCGCUCACUAAACGAACUGAAAUAUAAGAAGUCUUUGGCAUUGUGUUGCAGCGAUAUGAAAAUGGUUAUUCAUUUUUAAUUAUAAUGUACUUCUUCAUCAUGAGUAAUUAUGUAUUGGUCUUUUAGAUGUGUAUUUAUUUUUGUAAUUAGUAUCAACUUGUAAUGAUAAUAUACAUUUAUCGUUUAAGGUACGACUAUGUUUUGACUCUAAAAUAAAUGUUUUAAAAAUCGAA